CCGAUAAGGGCUGAGGGAAGCCUGGCACCUUCACACAUCCCCCUGCGCUGGUGGGCGCUGGGCCCCCGCGGCCCCUCCGGGGAUUGGCCACCCACGCGGGGGCCGGGGGAGGGGGCGGCUGGACCCCCGCAGACCCGGCAGAAGCCGACACGUCGGGGGACACAGGCCGAGCAGGAGCAGACUGAGCUGAGGAAUGGGGCGGGGGGCCCGGCGGCUGGGGCAUAGAGCCCCCCGGAGACAACACCUGCUCCCCGGAGGGGUCGCCCUGUGUCAGCUCAGCCAGCCAUUCCCGUGGCCUUGUGACCGCGCGGCUGAUUUUCCCUAGGUCCACAGAUAGGGAAGCGGGGCCGUGAGGGUGAGCUCGGUCCCAAGCUGAGCCGCGGGGUUUGUCACCCGUGUGCCCGGCGCUGGCUGGGCCCGGCACCCCCUAUCCUGACGGCUCGUCCUCCAGGGCUGUGUUCUGACGGACUCCAUUUGAGAGCAGGAUCACCCAGGCGCAGAGAGGCCAAGGGUCUGAUCCCAGGUCACACAGCACAACAGGGAUGGCCAAACAGGAGGGGACUGGGGAGGGGGGCUGUCUGGGCACAACCCAAACACCUGGUCCUGGGAUGCAGUCCAGCCGGGGGAGUCGCAGCCCAGGGGACACGCUGGUGUAGACGGGGACCAUGGAAAGUGGUAUAAUCAGACACCUAGGAAACGGAGCCGGGGGCUGCAUGGGACUGGAUGGACACAGCUGGGCCUAUCCUCAGUCCCUGGGGUGAAGGCAGUGACCCCAUGCUCCCCAGGGGCUGGGGCGAAGGCCCUGCCCCCCAGUUCUCUCCAGGGCUGGGAGGAAGGCGGUGUCCCCACUGCUCCCCCUGUGGUCACGGGGCAGGCAAAGAGGGCUUGCACUCUGUCACGCAAGCAAACGGUGGCCCAGAGACGCCAAGAGACCGGCUCAGGCCACCCAGCUUCUGAGUGGCGGAACCAGCCCCCCACCCGGCUCUCCCACCCCCUGGCCCUCCGUGGUUCCACUGGCGCCCUUGAAAUUCGCCCUGACAGUCUGAGCACACGCCCUACUGCCCUGCCAGGCCGUCCGGGGACACUCCACCCGGGACACACUCCUGUGAAUGGGGAAGGACGAGCAGCCGUCACCUGUGCCUUGGGCAGCCCCCGUCUGGAGAGGAAGAGCACAGGACGAGCAAGAGGCAAAGAAAAGCCCGGGAGAUGGACAGCCGGGUGUCAGGGCAGAGCCCCCCCCCUACUUCCCACUCUCCACCUGCAGGUGGGGCCCCCGAGGCUUCUGCUCCCUCCAAGGAGGCAGCGUUGCCACGGCGACCACCAUCACCUGGCAACUGAGCCGCGUCCUCCCGGGCACCUGCCGUCUCUCCUCUGGCUCUGGGAAGGGACGUGUGUCCAGAAGCCCCCUUGUCUCAGAAAGCCCACCUGCGGGGACAAGACAGGGAGACUGGGGCGGGAGGGGACGGGCGGAGACCCAGCUGGGAGAAUCAGAGGUGGAACCAUACAAGAAACUAUACAAACGCAGGUUAAGACUCUCCAUAUCUCCUCUUCGGUGACAUCAUAGGGCCAUCCGUCUCUAGGUGCCGGACCGGGAGGAAACAGUGGACGUGGUUUUAACAAGGGUCACCCACCGCACGGCUCGCCCCGUGUCCCCGCUUAGCACCGCAUGUGGACAUGUGUCUGGGUCAGCGACUCCGCUCUCUCACCUCGGCCGCUGCCCGGGCGUGACUCACUGAGUGUGCCCAGAACUCUUGCUCGGGACGAAGCCCGGGCACUGGGCUCCCGAGAUCCGAGACCUUGGGCCUGAGUGGGGCUCACAGGCCGCGGGGGUAGGGAGAGCGGUGACCUGCACACCCACGGCCCAAAGCGAGGAAGGAACAGUCCCGGCUCCGAGAGAAGGGGCGGCCUUCAUGGGGCGGGGCUGAAAGGGAGGAACGGGCACGCUCCGCCCACAAACCAGAGCAGGCUUCCUGGAGGAGGCCCUUUUUUGGAGGAGAUCAGAAACACGCAUGGGAAUAUGGAAGUGAAGGCAGUGAGGGGAGACGGAGGGACUGGAUGCAGCAAGGGCCCAGGCACCCUGACCUGCCUGCUGGGGGAAGGCUGGAGGCAGGGACUCCCAGGGGCCUGGGAUGGGAGGACGGGAGGAAGCAGGGAGAAGGGGAGGCAGAACAGGAGAAACGGGGCGGGGGGGGGGGGGGAGACGGAGAAGGAGGAGGGGAGCAGCCCGCCUGGCUGAGCACUGACGAAUGCCAGGUUCACUCCACACUUAAACCACCGCCCCCGUGGGCACCGUGCUCUCCCCAUUUUCCAGGGCAGCGAACUGAGGGUCCGAGGCAUUCAGCAAGACUUCCCAAAGACAACGGCCAAUGGGUGAUGGCAUCCCGGGAGAACCCUCUCUGACUUCAGUCCCCAGAGCCCACUUCAGGCACUAGCUCGGGGCUCCCCCGGCCUCUCCCCCCACUGCUGCUCUCGGAAAUGCGUCCACUGAGGCCCCUGGCGUGCCAGAUCCCUCUGGGCUGAGUAUGCCUGCAGCCUGGGACUCUCCUAGGGACGUCUGGUUGGUG
Molecule: long non-coding RNA, 2564 nt
Filed under: Felis catus (domestic cat)
Lineage: Eukaryota; Metazoa; Chordata; Mammalia; Carnivora; Felidae
Description: lncRNA (ENSFCAG00000050956.1)
Source: RNAcentral